UGCACUUACUGUGAGCUCGAUGAGUAGGGCGGGACACGUUGUAUCCUGUCUGAAUAUGGGGGGACCAUCCUCCAAGUCUAAAUACUACUGACUGACCGAUAGUGAACCAGUACCGAGAGGGAAAGGCGAAAAGAACCCCGGCGAGGGGAGUGAAAAAGAACCUG
Molecule: ribosomal RNA, 164 nt
Filed under: Escherichia coli
Lineage: Bacteria; Pseudomonadati; Pseudomonadota; Gammaproteobacteria; Enterobacterales; Enterobacteriaceae
Description: partial 23S ribosomal RNA
Rfam family: Bacterial large subunit ribosomal RNA
Source: RNAcentral